UACGGGGGGGGCAAGCGUUGUUCGGAAUUACUGGGCGUAAAGGGCUCGUAGGUGGCCAACUAAGUCAGACGUGAAAUCCCUCAGCCUAACUGGGGAACUGCGUCUGAUACUGGAUGGCUUGAGUUUGGGAGAGGGAUGCGGAAUUCCAGGUGUAGCGGUGAAAUGCGUAGAUAUCUGGAGGAACACCGGUGGCGAAGGCGGCAUCCUGGACCAAUACUGACACUGAGGAGCGAAAGCCAGGGGAGCAAACGGG
Molecule: ribosomal RNA, 253 nt
Filed under: uncultured bacterium
Lineage: Bacteria
Description: partial 16S ribosomal RNA
Rfam family: Bacterial small subunit ribosomal RNA
Source: RNAcentral